This 494-nucleotide ribosomal RNA is filed under the name uncultured bacterium. RNAcentral describes it as "bacterial SSU rRNA". It matches the Rfam family "Bacterial small subunit ribosomal RNA", at positions 903 to 1397 of the family's 1533-position model. The record is from RNAcentral.
AAAGGAAUAGACGGGGGCCCGCACAAGCGGAGGAACAUGUGGUUUAAUUCGAUGAUACGCGAGGAACCUUACCUGGGCUUAAAUGUAGAGUGCAUUGGAGGGAAACUUUCAUUUUCUUCGGAACUUUUUACAAGGUGCUGCAUGGUUGUCGUCAGCUCGUGCCGUGAGGUGUCGGGUUAAGUCCCAUAACGAGCGCAACCCUUAUCGUUAGUUGCCAGCGGGUGAAGCCGGGAACUCUAACGAAACUGCCGGUGUAAACCGUGAGGAAGGUGGGGAUGACGUCAAAUCAGCACGGCCCUUAUGUCCAGGGCUACACACGUGUUACAAUGGCCGGUACAGAGGGCAGCUACCUGGAGACAGGAUGCGAAUCUCGAAAGCCGGUCUCAGUUCGGAUCGGAGUCUGCAACCCGACUCCGUGAAGCUGGAUUCGCUAGUAAUCGCGCAUCAGCUACGGCGCGGUGAAUACGUUCCCGGGCCUUGUACACACCGCCCGU